GAAUGCUGACAUAAGUAACGAUAAAGCGGGUGAAAAGCCCGCUCGCCGGAAGACCAAGGGUUCCUGUCCAACGUUAAUCGGGGCAGGGUGAGUCGACCCCUAAGGCGAGGCCGAAAGGCGUAGUCGAUGGGAAACAGGUUAAUAUUCCUGUACUUGGUGUUACUGCGAAGGGGGGACGGAGAAGGCUAUGUUGGCCGGGCGACGGUUGUCCCGGUUUAAGCGUGUAGGCUGGUUUUCCAGGCAAAUCCGGAAAAUCAAGGCUGAGGCGUGAUGACGAGGCACUACGGUGCUGAAGCAACAAAUGCCCUGCUUCCAGGAAAAGCCUCUAAGCAUCAGGUAACAUCAAAUCGUACCCCAAACCGACACAGGUGGUCAGGUAGAGAAUACCAAGGCGCUUGAGAGAACUCGGGUGAAGGAACUAGGCAAAAUGGUGCCGUAAC
Molecule: ribosomal RNA, 440 nt
Filed under: Escherichia coli
Lineage: Bacteria; Pseudomonadati; Pseudomonadota; Gammaproteobacteria; Enterobacterales; Enterobacteriaceae
Description: partial 23S ribosomal RNA
Rfam family: Bacterial large subunit ribosomal RNA
Source: RNAcentral